ACGCUCGACACCUACGGGAGGCAGCAGUGGGGAAUAUUGCACAAUGGAGGAAACUCUGAUGCAGCGAUGCCGCGUGAGGGAAGAAGGUUUUCGGAUUGUAAACCUCUGUCUUUGGGGACGAUAAUGACGGUACCCAAGGAGGAAGCUCCGGCUAACUACGUGCCACAGCCGCGGUAAUCUGAGCGGGCUGGCAAGGC
This 197-nucleotide ribosomal RNA is filed under the name uncultured bacterium. RNAcentral's name for it is "partial 16S ribosomal RNA". It matches the Rfam family "Bacterial small subunit ribosomal RNA", at positions 328 to 539 of the family's 1533-position model. The record is from RNAcentral.